GUUCGAACGCUCGUAGUCGGAUUUCGGGGCGGGCCGACCGGUCUGCCGAUGGGUACGCACUGGUCGGCGCGUCCUUCCUUCCGGAGACCGUGCCUACUCUUAACUGAGCGGGGGCGGGAGACGGAACGUUUACUUUGAAAAAAUCAGAGUGUUUCAAGCAGGCAGCUCGCUCUUGCAUGGAUUAGCAUGGGAUAAUGAAAUAGGACUUUGGUGCUAUUUUGUUGGUUUCGAACACCGAAGUAAUGAUGAGAAGGGACAGUCAGGGGCACUCGUAUUCCGCCGAGAGAGGUGAAAUUCUCAGACCAGCGGAAGACGAACCACUGCGAAAGCAUUUGCCAGGGAUGUUUUCACUGAUCAAGAACGAAAGUUAGGGGAUCGAAGACGAUCAGAUACCGUCGUAGUCUUAACCAUAAACCAUACCGACUAGGGAUUGGAGGAUGUUCACUGAUUGACUCCUUCAGCACCUUACGGGAAACUAAAGUCUUUGGGUUCCGGGGGGAGUAUGGUCGCAAGGCUGAAACUUAAAGGAAUUGACGGAAGGGCACCACCAGGUGUGGAGCCUGCGGCUUAAUUUGACUCAACACGGGGAAACUUACCAGGUCCAGACAUUGUGAGGAUUGACAGAUUGAGAGCUCUUUCUUGAUUUGAUGGGUGGUGGUGCAUGGCCGUUCUUAGUUGGUGGAGUGAUUUGUCUGGUUAAUUCCGU
This 706-nucleotide ribosomal RNA is filed under the name uncultured marine eukaryote. RNAcentral describes it as "SSU rRNA". It matches the Rfam family "Eukaryotic small subunit ribosomal RNA", at positions 618 to 1328 of the family's 1831-position model. The record is from RNAcentral.